AGUGAACGCUGGCGGUAGGCCUAACACAUGCAAGUCGAACGGCCGCACAGUAAGAGCUUGCUCUUACGGGUGGCGAGUGGCGGGCGGGUGAGGAAUACAUCGGAAUCUACUUUUUCGUGGGGGAUAACGUAGGGAAACUUACGCUACUACCGCAUACGACCUACGGGUGAAAGCAGGGGAUCUUCGGACCUUGCGCGAUUGAAUGAGCCGAUGUCGGAUUAGCUAGUUGGCGGGGUAAAGGCCCACCAAGGCGACGAUCCGUAGCCGGUCUGAGAGGAUGAUCAGCCACACUGGAACUGAGACACGGUCCAGACUCCUACGGGAGGCAGCAGUGGGGAAUAUUGGACAAUGGGCGAAAGCCUGAUCCAGCCAUACCGCGUGGGUGAAGAAGGCCUUCGGGUUGUAAAGCCCUGUUGUUGGGAAAGAAAAGCAGCAGGUGAAUACCCCGCUGUUCUGACGGUACCCAAAGAAUAAGCACCGGCUAACUUCGUG
This 492-nucleotide ribosomal RNA is filed under the name uncultured bacterium. Its description in RNAcentral is "partial 16S ribosomal RNA". It matches the Rfam family "Bacterial small subunit ribosomal RNA", at positions 29 to 507 of the family's 1533-position model. The record is from RNAcentral.